GACGAACGCUAGCGGCGUGCUUAACACAUGCAAGUCGAACGGAAAGGCCCUGCUUUUGUUUGGUGCUCGAGUGGCGAACGGGUGAGUAACACGUGUGUAACCUGCCCUCGACAGUGGGAUAACUUCAGGAAACUGGGGCUAAUACCGGAUAGGAGCUCCUGCUGCAUGGUGGGGGUGGGUAAGCUUCGGCGGUUGGUGAUGGACUCGCGGCUUAGCAGCAUGUUGGUGGGGUAGUGGCUUAACAAGGCUUUGACGAGUAGCGGGCCUGAGAGGGUGACCGGGCACAGGGGGACUGAGCUACGGCACAGACUCGUAGGGGAGACAGGAGUGGGGAUUCUAGCACAAUGCGCGGAUGCCUGAUGCAGCAACGCCGCGUGCGGGAUGACGGCCUUCGGGUUGUAAACCGCUUUCGCCUGUGACGAAGCGUGAGGGACGGUAAUGGGUAAAGAAGCACCGGCUAACUACGU
Molecule: ribosomal RNA, 467 nt
Filed under: uncultured bacterium
Lineage: Bacteria
Description: partial 16S ribosomal RNA
Rfam family: Bacterial small subunit ribosomal RNA
Source: RNAcentral